CACUUUGGCCGCCUCGUGGUCACGGACCAUUGGGUUCAGCGAGAUAGCUCGCCAACCGAUCCAUCAAGCGAUCGCAGGCGGCCAUUUGU
RNAcentral lists this unclassified non-coding RNA (89 nucleotides) under Pseudomonas brassicacearum. Lineage: Bacteria; Pseudomonadati; Pseudomonadota; Gammaproteobacteria; Pseudomonadales; Pseudomonadaceae. The record is from RNAcentral.